This is an RNA transcript of Phalaenopsis equestris, 3208 nucleotides long. It is a transcript of the gene named probable inactive leucine-rich repeat receptor-like protein kinase At3g03770, with no coding region annotated. The record is from RefSeq and is a predicted model, not a curated record. The transcript has 9 exons. Lineage: Eukaryota; Viridiplantae; Streptophyta; Magnoliopsida; Asparagales; Orchidaceae.
AAAGAGAUGCCCAUCUUUAGCUUUGUUUCCCGCUUUAAUGGCCGACCUUAACACCUAAAUGACAAUAAAAGACCUCGCUCUCGCUCUGCAGCAUCUGUCUUCUCCCUCCAUAGCUCAAAAAAUCUGUUUUUGUAUACUUGUCAAGCUAGCUUCCAUCCAUGUCCAGCUCAGCUCUACUGAUCCUUUGUCCUCUUCUCCGUCUUCCUCACCCGUGAGGGUUUGAUCUCAUCUCCUCCAGAAACCCUACAAUCUGGGAUUUAAGGUCCAAAUCAUUGCCACUAGGCUCCGAACCCUAUCAUUUUGUUGAGCAAGCUAGAAAGCCGCAAUGUUCGAAGUUCAUUGAGCUUGCAUCGAUCUGGUAUGCUUUUGUCUCCACAAUAGCUGGCUUGUAGCUCUCUCCAUUGCUUAAGGGAGAACAAAGAAGAGAUUUUUCUGCAAUUUUCCGGUUUGAAUUGAUAAUGGCCUGGAGAUGUUACUCCUCUUACUUUCUAGUACUGUUGUUGAUAGUUUUGAUCUUGGUUCCGCCAUCAAGCCAGCUGCAAUCUUCGCAGGCAGGAGCUCUUCUCAGACUCAAGCAUCUGCUAAAUUUUCCAUUUGUUUUAACUAGCUGGGAUGGAAGUACUGAUUUCUGCAAUGCUGAACCGAAUCCAUCAGUAACUGUGGUAUGCUAUGAGGAGAGCAUAACGCAAUUACAUAUCAAUGGGAACAUCAGUUCUCCUAGGUUACCGGCGAGUUUCUCCAUUGAUUCCUUCUUCACCACACUUACAAGGCUCCCUAACCUGAAAGUCCUCUCCUUGACUUCCCUUGGAUUAUGGGGUCCAAUUCCUGCAAAGAUUUCAAGGUUAUCUUAUUUGGAGAUUUUGAAUAUGAGCUCAAAUUUGUUGGAUGGAACAAUUCCAGCCGAAAUUUCUCAUUUGAAGAAUCUUCAGACCUUGAUUCUGGAUCAUAACCAUAUUGAUGGAAGAUUACCAGAUUGGAUUGGCUCUUUUCCUCGUCUAGCAGUGUUGAGUGUAAAGAACAAUUCUUUGAAUGGCCCUCUGCCAGUUUCAUUGAGUAGCAUGGAGUCACUCAGACUGCUUGUGCUCUCAUUCAAUGCUUUCUCUGGACUUUUGCCUGAUCUUAGCGGUUUAUCCAAUCUUCAAGCUCUUGAUUUAGAGAGCAACUUCUUUGGCCCUGAGUUCCCAAGUUUGAACAGGAAGUUGGUUAAGAUUUUCAUGAGAAACAACAGCUUUACAGGGGGAAUCCCUUCUGAAAUCGGUUCUUACUACUAUCUGCUUCAGCAACUAGAUAUUUCUUCGAAUAGGUUUGUUGGGCCUUUCAUGCCAUCACUGUUGUCUCUCCCUUCAAUUCAGUAUAUCAAUAUAUCGGGAAAUAGGUUUACUGGUAUGCUUUUUCCAAAUGAAUCAUGCAAUGGUGAACUAAAAGUUGUAGAUUUAUCAUCUAAUUUGUUGACUGGUAGCCUUCCAACAUGUCUGAGUUCAAGAUCGAUGGACAUGAGUGUGCUAUACUGUGGAAAUUGUUUGGCAAACAAAGAUCAGGUUCAGCACCCAAAUACCUUCUGUCAGAAUCAAGCUUUUGCUGUUGAUUUGUCGUCUCGAAAGGGGAAGAAGGCGUCGAUUCAUAAAGCAAUAGUUGCUGUAAGUGUGGUGGGAAGUGUUGUGGUAGCUCUCAUUGUGGCUUUCCUGUUGUUUGCCACCAUAAGAAGAGAUUCUAACAGCCUUAUGAACAAACCUCCAAGAAGGCUAAUUGAGCAUGCUUCAAAUGGCUUCCCUUCAAAACUUCUAGCCGACGCUAGGUAUAUCUCUCAAACAAUGAAGUUGGGAGCACUUGGUAUUCCUUCCUAUCGAUCGUUUUCUUUGGACGAGCUUGAGGCAGCCACGAACAACUUUGAUACAUCGACUUACAUUGGUGAAGGCUCUCUUGGUCAGAUGUACAGAGGAAAGCUCAGAGAUGGUUCACUCAUUGCAAUAAGAUGCUUAAAACUGAAAAAGCAACACACUUCCCAGAACUGUAAUCGACAUAUCGAGCUGAUUUCAAAGCUCAGACAUCAACACUUGGUUAGUGCUCUCGGCCACUGCUUUGAGUAUUACCUUGAAGAUUCUAGUGUCAGCACAUUAUUUCUCAUUUUCGAGUAUGUGUCGAAUGGAACCCUUAGAAGCAACAUUUCAGGACAAAAGCUCACAUGGUCACAAAGAAUAGGGGCUGCCAUUGGCGUGGCAAAGGGCAUCCAGUUUCUGCAUGCAGGAAUUAUUCCCGGUUUGUUUGGAAAUAAUCUGAAAAUAACAAAUGUACUCCUGGAUCAUAACCUUGUUGCAAAAAUCAGCAGCUAUAAUCUUCCAGUGCUAGCUGAGAUAAAAGCUGAGUUUUGUGGAUUCAUGCAGGUCAUGACUGGAACUUCUUCUGGAUCCAAGGAGAACACCAGAAGAACAUUGUACGAAGAAAAGAUCGACAUCUAUGAUUUUGGUAUCAUUUUAUUGGAAAUCAUCUCUGGAAGGCCAAUUACAACUUCGAGUGACGCUAAACUAUUGAAGGACCAGUUACAAGGAAGUAUAACUGCUGAUGAUGCUGUGAGGAAAAUAAGUGUUGUUGAUCCAGCAGUUCAAAAGGCCUGUUGUGGCGAAUCACUGAAGACCGUAAUAGAAAUAUGCAUUCGAUGCUUAUCUGAUGAGCUUGCGGACAGACCUUCGGUUGAAGAUGUGCUCUGGAACUUGCAGUUUGCGGCUCAAGUGCAAGAAGCAUGGAGGGGAGAUUCUAAUAGCAGUGAAGAUUCGCCGUUAUCACCACGUACACCGGCAUUAAGAAGCUCUAAAGACUAGGGACUGACAUCACUGUAACAUAUCUGAAUUUCAUUUCCUUCCAAGAAGCUAUCUGUUCAAAUGGGAGACUGAAAAGCCUGAAACGAGAGUUGCAGAGUAAACUUCAAGUUUAUUUAUGUGGCCAUGAAAACUAGUUUAGCGCUAUGUACAAAGGAGAAAAUUUUACGCACGGACACCGUACUUCUGUACAGCCAACUGCCGGACGCCACAUCGCACACGUCGGCGCUGGGCUACGUGGCACUCGACAGUUGGCCGUUCGAACGUGCGGAAAACUGCCCAUGUAUACAGUGCAAGGUUUUGCAAGUUUUCUGAUGUAAUUCCUUCUAACUAAUGUAUCCUAUGAAUGUAUUCCAAAAUUUCAAGCUUAUUGGUAUCUUUCUUCUUUUUGCACA